GUGAAUUGUAGUCUAUCGCUGCAGAUCUUAAUGAUUUGUGGAGGAAAGUCCGGACAAAGCAGACAACAUGCCACCUAACGGGUGGGCUUCCCUGGUAGAGGAAGACAGCUAGUGUCACAGAAAAUAACCGCCCAGAUUCUGGGUAAGGGUGAAAAAGGGAGGUAAGAGCUCCUACAGUUUGCAGGCAACUGGAAACUGGGAUAAACCUCAUGUUUUGAAAUGCCAAGUAUAUCCAUUCAUUCUUCGGAAUGCCUGUGUCUGGAGGGUUCUUUUGAACGAUGGAAGGGUAGGCAGAUGGAGACUAGUCAGUAAUGAUUAGUACAGAUAAAUGAUAGAUACCGAUUUUUCGGAGACAGAAUCCGGCUUAUUCAAUUCACUACC
This 381-nucleotide RNase P RNA is filed under the name Saprospiraceae bacterium. RNAcentral describes it as "RNase P RNA component class A". It matches the Rfam family "Bacterial RNase P class A". Rfam says of the family: Ribonuclease P (RNase P) is a ubiquitous endoribonuclease, found in archaea, bacteria and eukarya as well as chloroplasts and mitochondria. Lineage: Bacteria; Pseudomonadati; Bacteroidota; Saprospiria; Saprospirales; Saprospiraceae. The record is from RNAcentral.